UGACGUCGCAAGACGAAAAAUGAAUACCAAGUCUCUGAGUGAACACGUAAUUCAUUACGAAGUUUAAUUCACGAGCAUCAAACUUUUAAAUUGAAGAGUUUGAUCAUGGCUCAGAUUGAACGCUGGCGGCAGGCCUAACACAUGCAAGUCGAACGGUAACAGGAAGCAGCUUGCUGCUUUGCUGACGAGUGGCGGACGGGUGAGUAAUGUCUGGGAAACUGCCUGAUGGAGGGGGAUAACUACUGGAAACGGUGGCUAAUACCGCAUAACGUCGCAAGACCAAAGAGGGGGACCUUCGGGCCUCUUGCCAUCAGAUGUGCCCAGAUGGGAUUAGCUUGUUGGUGAGGUAACGGCUCACCAAGGCGACGAUCCCUAGCUGGUCUGAGAGGAUGACCAGCCACACUGGAACUGAGACACGGUCCAGACUCCUACGGGAGGCAGCAGUGGGGAAUAUUGCACAAUGGGCGCAAGCCUGAUGCAGCCAUGCCGCGUGUAUGAAGAAGGCCUUCGGGUUGUAAAGUACUUUCAGCGGGGAGGAAGGUGUUGUGGUUAAUAACCGCAGCAAUUGACGUUACCCGCAGAAGAAGCACCGGCUAACUCCGUGCCAGCAGCCGCGGUAAUACGGAGGGUGCAAGCGUUAAUCGGAAUUACUGGGCGUAAAGCGCACGCAGGCGGUCUGUCAAGUCGGAUGUGAAAUCCCCGGGCUCAACCUGGGAACUGCAUUCGAAACUGGCAGGCUUGAGUCUUGUAGAGGGGGGUAGAAUUCCAGGUGUAGCGGUGAAAUGCGUAGAGAUCUGGAGGAAUACCGGUGGCGAAGGCGGCCCCCUGGACAAAGACUGACGCUCAGGUGCGAAAGCGUGGGGAGCAAACAGGAUUAGAUACCCUGGUAGUCCACGCCGUAAACGAUGUCUACUUGGAGGUUGUGCCCUUGAGGCGUGGCUUCCGGAGCUAACGCGUUAAGUAGACCGCCUGGGGAGUACGGCCGCAAGGUUAAAACUCAAAUGAAUUGACGGGGGCCCGCACAAGCGGUGGAGCAUGUGGUUUAAUUCGAUGCAACGCGAAGAACCUUACCUGGUCUUGACAUCCACAGAACUUUCCAGAGAUGGACUGGUGCCUUCGGGAACUGUGAGACAGGUGCUGCAUGGCUGUCGUCAGCUCGUGUUGUGAAAUGUUGGGUUAAGUCCCGCAACGAGCGCAACCCUUAUCCUUUGUUGCCAGCGAUUAGGUCGGGAACUCAAAGGAGACUGCCAGUGAUAAACUGGAGGAAGGUGGGGAUGACGUCAAGUCAUCAUGGCCCUUACGACCAGGGCUACACACGUGCUACAAUGGCGCAUACAAAGAGAAGCGACCUCGCGAGAGCAAGCGGACCUCAUAAAGUGCGUCGUAGUCCGGAUUGGAGUCUGCAACUCGACUCCAUGAAGUCGGAAUCGCUAGUAAUCGUGGAUCAGAAUGCCACGGUGAAUACGUUCCCGGGCCUUGUACACACCGCCCGUCACACCAUGGGAGUGGGUUGCAAAAGAAGUAGGUAGCUUAACCUUCGGGAGGGCGCUUACCACUUUGUGAUUCAUGACUGGGGUGAAGUCGUAACAAGGUAACCGUAGGGGAACCUGCGGUUGGAUCACCUCCUUACC
RNAcentral lists this ribosomal RNA (1631 nucleotides) under Salmonella enterica. RNAcentral's name for it is "bacterial SSU rRNA". It matches the Rfam family "Bacterial small subunit ribosomal RNA". The record is from RNAcentral. Lineage: Bacteria; Pseudomonadati; Pseudomonadota; Gammaproteobacteria; Enterobacterales; Enterobacteriaceae.